This 99-nucleotide transfer RNA is filed under the name Terriglobia bacterium. RNAcentral's name for it is "tRNA-Sec". It matches the Rfam family "Selenocysteine transfer RNA". Lineage: Bacteria; Pseudomonadati; Acidobacteriota; Terriglobia. The record is from RNAcentral.
GGAAGCGCACGGGGCCUGGUGGCUCUCGCGGUCUUCAAAACCGUUGCUCCGUGCCGUCGCGGCACGGAGGGUGGGUUCGAUUCCCAUGCGCUUCCGCCA